UACGGGAGGCAGCAGUGGGGAAUAUUGCACAAUGGGCGAAAGCCUGAUGCAGCUAUGCCGCGUGUAUGAAGAAGGCCUUAGGGUUGUAAAGUACUUUCAUCGGGGAGGAAAAACAAAACUAAUAAUUUUAUUUCUUGACGUUACCCGAAAAAGAAGCACCGGCUAACUCCGUGCCAGCAGCCGCGGUAAUACGGAGGGUGCUAGCGUUAAUCAGAAUUACUGGGCGUAAAGAGCACGUAGGUGGUUUUUUUAAGUCAGAUGUGAAAUCCCUGGGCUUAACCUGGAACUGCAUUUUGAAACUGAAAUACUAGAGUAUCGUAGAGGGAGGUAGAAUUCUAGGUGUAGCGGUGAAAUGCGUAGAUAUCUGGAGGAAUACCUGUGGCGAAAGCGGCCUCCUAAACGAAUACUGACACUGAGGUGCGAAAGCGUGGGGAGCGAACAAGAGUAGUAGUACC
Molecule: ribosomal RNA, 455 nt
Filed under: uncultured bacterium
Lineage: Bacteria
Description: bacterial SSU rRNA
Rfam family: Bacterial small subunit ribosomal RNA
Source: RNAcentral